GGUUGCGUGGUGUAGUUGGUUAUCACACUUGCCUCACACGCAAGUGGUCCCCGGUUCGAGCCCGGGCGCAAUCA
Non-coding RNA from Morchella snyderi, 74 nucleotides. NCBI's taxonomy places the organism in Eukaryota, Fungi, Ascomycota, Pezizomycetes, Pezizales, Morchellaceae. The record is from the annotation of a GenBank genome assembly.